Molecule: ribosomal RNA, 469 nt
Filed under: uncultured bacterium
Lineage: Bacteria
Description: partial 16S ribosomal RNA
Rfam family: Bacterial small subunit ribosomal RNA
Source: RNAcentral
GACGAACGCUGGCGGCGUGCUUAACACAUGCAAGUCGAACGGAAAGGCCCUGCUUUUGUGGGGUGCUCGAGUGGCGAACGGGUGAGUAACACGUGAGUAACCUGCCCUUGACUUUGGGAUAACUUCAGGAAACUGGGGCUAAUACCGGAUAGGAGCUCCUGCUGCAUGGUGGGGGUUGGAAAGUUUCGGCGGUUGGGGAUGGACUCGCGGCUUAUCAGCUUGUUGGUGGGGUAGUGGCUUACCAAGGCUUUGACGGGUAGCCGGCCUGAGAGGGUGACCGGCCACAUUGGGACUGAGAUACGGCCCAGACUCCUACGGGAGGCAGCAGUGGGGAAUAUUGCACAAUGGGUGGAAGCCUGAUGCAGAAACGCCGUGUGCGGGAUGACGGCCUUCGGGUUGUAAACCGCUUUCGCUCAUGACGAAGCUUUGUGUGACGGUAGUGGGUAAAGAAGCACCGGCUAACUACGUG